UGAAAGUUUUUUUUUUUUUUUUUUUUUUUUUUUUCCAUUU
This 40-nucleotide non-coding RNA is filed under the name Prorocentrum micans. The record is from RNAcentral. Lineage: Eukaryota; Dinophyceae; Prorocentrales; Prorocentraceae.